This 232-nucleotide ribosomal RNA is filed under the name uncultured bacterium. Its description in RNAcentral is "partial 16S ribosomal RNA". It matches the Rfam family "Bacterial small subunit ribosomal RNA", at positions 99 to 334 of the family's 1533-position model. The record is from RNAcentral.
CGGACGGGUGAGUAAUGUCUGGGAAACUGCCUGAUGGAGGGGGAUAACUACUGGAAACGGUAGCUAACACCGCAUAACGUCGCAAGACCAAAGAGGGGGACCUUCGGGCCUCUUGCCAUCGGAUGUGCCCAGAUAGGAUUAGCUAGUAGGUGGGGUAACGGCUCACCUAGGCGACGAUCCCUAGCUGGUCUGAGAGGAUGACCAGCCACACUGGAACUGAGACACGGUCCAG